UCCUCGGUUCCCAAAUGCGUCUAUUUUAGAGGAUAGUCGUCAUUGAUUUGCAUCAAUAUGUCCAAAUGCGUCAACUUUGUCGGUGUAAAGAGUAGGGAGAAAGAAUCCUGGGGGGAUACAGGUUCAGGGGAUCCAGGCGUAGCUUUGCCUUUCACUGGCUGUGGGAACUUAGCCAUGUUACAUCACCUCAUCGCGCCUCUGUUUCCUCAUCUGAAAAAUUAACAUAAUUAUUCCGCCUACCUCAUGGAGCUGGUUACGGAGGAUUCAAUGAGGCAAUUCGUAGAAAUAGUUAAAGCUGUACCUGACGCUUAGGAGGCAUGACUUAUGAAGCAUAGACACUUCAGAGAGGUAAACGCUUACCUCCCGAAAGGACUAAAUCUGACUUCUUAUUUAAAUGGCUCAUCUGUCCAUUCAUUCAUUCAACACACAUUCACUAAGUCCAUAUUAUGAGCCAGCAGCGGGUGGCCACCAGGCAAACAAAUAUAAAUAAACUACCGCUCUUCGCCAGUAGGAGCUCAGACGUGUAAACAAAAAAUCUGCCGCGACGAGGGAGGUGCUGGGAGAGCAUUUCUGCGGGAACACGGAGACGGGAACGUGCAGCCUCCUACCUCGCCCUGGAGGAGUCAGGAUGGCCGCCCGGAAGUGAGGUUCCACAGAAGGUGAAGAGGGAAAGGGCAUUCCAAUGGAGGGCACAGCAUGUUUAAGCAAAGACCCAAAUGGAGGAAGAGCAGAUCCCCUGUGGAGGAUACAGAACACGCUAAUAGAAGCCAGAUCUUUUUGGUUAGUUUUGAUGGAGCUUCAUGGAGUUAUAACUCUGACAGUGGUAUUUUCAUUAAGAGGAGAAUGGUUUACUGUCCAAACUGGAAAUGGUGUCUUCUUGAUGGGAUUGCAGCUGGAAUAAAUGGAGUGAAGACGAACAGAAAAGCAGGCACCUGGCUCUUCUUCCUUAUUCUACACUUCUGAGUGAGUUCUGGUCCCUCCCAGCCUCAAUUUCCCCAUUGCUAUGGGAACUGAAAUCAAUCCUACGGCCCACAGUGUCUCCUGCAAAUGAGCUGGAUUAGUGUUCACCACCCUGAGCCCUCCAAUAUCCAGCACUGUAAAUUUCAGUUGUAAUUGCCGGUAUUACUCAGACAAGGAAAAGAAAUAUUUCCAGUUCUGGGAAGAGCAGGGCUAACAGCUGUAGCUGAACACGAGACGGGGGAGGAUGACAAACCACAGACGUGCCCAGCUCUUGGGUGCUCCGAAGGGAACCUGGGCAGAAAAUGGCGGCCCCCGUCAGGCAUUUAAAUCUGUGCUUGCUGAUUCAGUCACACAUACCGGUGGUUAAGGCUCCUGUCUGUGCACCAUCACAGAAAGGAUAGAGUUUCUUGACUCCUAUCAACUCACGUCCCACCUCAGAGGGCUGGCCCUCAGCACAGCGUUGGUCAAAACGUGACAUUCCCUGAGAGAUUGGGAAUUCCAAUGUUUAUCAUAUGUUCCAGCUUUGCUUCUUUGAUCAGAGAAGAUCCCCAAAGAGGGACUCAUCAACAGAUGAUUUUGGUCAUUCCUCGAUGAUAUAAAAUGCAAGACACAAACAUCUCAUAUGCCUUGUUUGUUCUACUGUUCAUGCAGCCAGUUUUGUAACCACAAGAAUCUUUUUUAGAAGAAUAGAUGGCUGGGUCUGGGGGUAGGACUGGGGGGUAGGAAAUUUUUGGGCUUCCAGAUAAUACACUGGUUAAUUAUGGGACUUCUUAUAGUGUUUUGAGCUGGUUCAGUAGGGGAGAAACAGGGAUGAGCAUGCCCAAGUUUAGAAUUUAGAAUGGUCUAAGUUCAUUCCAAAGUGUUUAUGUGAGUAUAUAUGUGAACGUGUGUGUGUGAUCAUCUUUUUUUUAUUUAUUUAUUUUGAGGGAGAGGAAGAGAGAGCAUGAGCAGAGAGGGACAGAGAGAGAGGGAGAGAGAGACAAUCCCAAGCAGGCUCUGAGCUGUCAAUGUGGAGCUCAACAUGGGGCUCGAUCCCAUGACUGUGAGACCAUGACCUGAGCUGAAAUCAAGAGUCAGAUGUUCAACCAACUGAGCCACCCAGGUGCCCCUCAUCAUAGAUAAUUCUUAAAUCUUCUAUUUUCUUGAGAACAAUAUUAUGAACUGCAUCAUUUCAUGUAAAAACAUAACUCACAGAUACAACAUGUCUUUAACAAAAUUCUACUAGAAAGUGAGAAAGGUAUUAACAUGUAUCCAGGAGACAAAUCAGCGUUUGUGAAAAUCAUGGUGUCAUUUAUGAUACUUGUCAACUAGUUGUAGGCCAGUGGGGGGGAGGGUACCCAUUCAUUCAUUCCCUCAUCAGCAGAUAUUACUAAACAUCCACUCUAGCUUGAACCACAUAAACCUUCCAACAUUUGAGCUUUUAAUCUAUGAAAAUAGACAUCUCACAUGGUUCCACAUGCACCGUGCUAGGUACUGUGUUAGGUAUGGGGAUAGAAGAAUAAGAAACAAGAAGAAUGGAUUUGUAAACAGCAGUGCAAUGAAGGGUCACAAGUGCUGUAAUGGGAACAUGUAGAAAAGCCUGUGAGGACCCAGGGAAGGCGGAAGUCGGAGUGGGAAAGUCUAUUGUGGUGAACACGGUAAUCUUCUCAGUAGAUGAUGCAAUCUUCUUUUUAAAAUUAUUAGUGGUAUUAGCUAAUUUAAACGGAGGAUUUCUAUUACAGCUCCAUGUUAAGAAUUUUAUAUUUAUCUCAUGUUAUCCUCACAGACCCCUAUGGAGUAGGAGUCAUCAUAAUCCCCAUAUUUCAGAAGAGGAAACAGAAGAGUAGAGAGUUUAAGGACUAUACUCAGAUUACACAGCUGGUGAGUGCUGGAGCUAGGAUUCACCCUGUCACCGUGUAGACACAACCAUAUCAUGACCAUGUAAACACAACGUUGUCCUGGUUGUGAAUAAAUAGCAGUAACAAGAACAAAGACUUCUGACUUUUCAGGUCAAAUCCGUCUUGGGACCCAUAACCCACUUGGUUUCAACCCCUGAGAGACAGUUUUCUGGUACCAGUCUAGACCACUUGGCAUUGAAGCAAAUAGGAACAUACUUACACUCACAUUCACACGCGCACGCACACGUAUGCUCCCAGGCCCACUUUGGAGUGGACUUACCCCCUUUCUGAGGCCUGAACUUAUACCUACUGAAGAACACAAUGCAAAGGCGGUAAAAUGUGGUGGUUUCUCAAGCAAUUCCCUAUUGUGAAAUGGAACGAGAACGUUGCCAUGAUGUAAAUUCCAGGGAUAUUACAUGAAGGAGCCAGCUACUGUUUUGUAUAGUGAUUGGUCCUCCUUGGAAGAAUUUCAAAUGGUCAUUAUUCAUUGGCAUAGCCUCAGGGAAGAUGAGGGGAAUAAAAAAAAAAUUGUAAGUUAGAGCCCUUGAGGCUUUUUAUCAGGCACCACCUUGUCAUAAACACAAUGAGAUUGGGUUUCCUGGGUGUUCUCAGGGCUCAUUAUGCAACAAGCCCCUGGCUCUGUCCUUCCCAGAAAAAGUCCAAAAGCCACUCUUGCAAUGUAGUCUCCCCAAUGACCUCAGCAGGGCACGGACAGCCAGGGCUCGGAGUGUGAUUCUCAUAGUCCUGGGAUGGAAAAGAGGACUCAGUGUGGAAGGGAAAACAAGGAGAACACACCAUCAGGCGACUGUGUCCACCACCUCCUUCUCCUACCAUUUCUCGGAUUCCUGACCUCAGCUGUGGGCAGCAGUAGCCUUUGUAAGGAGAAAACCAAGACUCAAGCUCUAAUGAAUGGACUGACAGGUGAUUCAAAAGAGGUGUCCUCCUCCUUUCAUCAUGUGAGAAUAGAAGCUUCAACCAGAAGAGGACCCUCACCCAACCAUGCUGGCACCUUGAUCUUGGACUUCCAGCCUCCAGAACUGUGAAAAAUAGAUUUCUGUGGUUUAUAAGCCAAAAAAAAAAAAAGGUAUUAUAUGGAAUAUGUCAACCAGAAAUGUGAAGAACCAAAAAAAUGGGGAAGGAGUCAUGAAAAGAGACUUAUCGUUAGUGAAAGGAAAAUGGCGGCCCUGAGAGGGGAGGGGUUGGCUGUGGCUGAUACACCACAACCUGCCACGUCAGUGACAGCAGUGCUGUGAGAAUAGGCAAGUCCCCAAAUUGCACUGGUUUAGCACCACAUUCAUUGUUUGCUUAAAGACCAGUCUCAGGGAAUCCUUCGCUAACACAGUAUUUCACGGAGCCAGCCAGAUGAUGGAGGGUGACAGAGAACUUGCAAGAUCACGGGUGUUCAUGGGCCAGGCCCGAGUGUCACACAUCACUGUCGCCUACAUUCCUGACCUGGAACCGAGCCAGCGUGGACCCACGCAGAUACCAGGACAGCCACUUCCCAGCCAUGACUCUACGCUGGAGAAGGGAAGCCUGAAUCUUCCGCGGGUAGCCGCUGUCUUCGCCACACCUGCACGCGUAUUACGAUACAACGAAUGAACUUCAAAAGACUGUUUGAGAGAGUCCCACUCUCCAAUCAGUCACUCAUUUCAAGGAAGCACUCACAUGGAUGGCAUCGAGGGUCAAACCACUGAGAAGGGAACCUGUGAGUUUACUGCAAUUUGUGACCUAAAUUAUGUUUCUUGUGAAUACCACUCUUUUUAUGGUGCUCUAAUUUGGAAACAUUUUCUGUUAGAUCCUAGGUGCCUGGAAAUGUUACUGUAUUAAUCACUUUCGAAUUAGCAUUUUUUUAAUGGUAAAUCGAAGUUUGUCAGGAUGCUUUAUUACGGUAUCAUGGACACUUCCUUUGGUUGAUAUAUAUUGUAGAGACGUGACAAAGACAGUAAGACCCAUAUCCGUAUCAAUGUGGUGUCUGUGUUUUUAAGACACUUCAAAUUAAAAAGGGGUUUGCAUUUAAUGAAUCUUUAAAUGAUUUCCUUUGUGUCUUGAGCUGUCAUCCUGAUCAUUUGCCCCGUAGUUCUUGUUAAGCAGCAGCAGUAGCAGAAGUCCUCAGACAUAGAAUAGAGGGGGCUAUCUUCUGUCUGCCUGGAAUGUGUUCAUAUGUGGUCAUGAGGGGUCCUCUGUAAGCAGAUAGUGGGAGCAGGGCAUUACCAAAUCUUUACAGUUCCAAAAGGUGAGGGGCCUUUCCCCAUCUCAUCCUUUCUGAGCAUUUCAGUUCUGAACACAUGAGCAGCGGAAACUCUGGGUGUACAGGGGAGGAAAAUGAUAAUUUACAGUCCCGUGUAAGAUACUUAUUUGAAACUAGAUUGAAAUAUGUCUAUAUCAGAUCUCCAUUUUUCUGGGUAUCGGUCUAUGUGUAUCUACCUUGUUUAUGUUCUGCCAUUAUUCCCACCGAGUAAGUCUCAUCCUUGUGAUACACUUCUUCAUGUCAGGGAUUGUUUCUUCUAUUAUUUUUAUAACUCUACCUCUACCACCAAAGUGUGUGCAUGCAUGCAAGCACACACACAUGCACACACAUACAUACACACACACAUGACACAGCUUGAAAAGGCAGCCCAUGACUUGAAGUUGAUUUUGCUGUUUUCUUAUUGAAGAAGCAAGAUAUAGUGGCAAAAGAAAAAGAUGACAAUUCAAAAUGAUAUAUUAGAAUCAAGUAAGACAGUGAGUAAGUGAUGGGAGAGCUCCAACAUUUUAGGCAGCAAUGGAGAAAGGUGGGGGAGCGUGAAGUGUAUACUCUAGGUUGAGUUAUCCUACGUUAAAGGGCUAUUCUGGAAGUUACACUCAGUAGUUCAGUUUAGACUCUAUUUGUCAGAACCUAGCUACAGGUCCGUCCUUGCUGCAAGGGAAUCUGGGAAGCAUAAAUUUUGGUUGGAUGUUUUGUGACUGGGAUAAAAUUGGAGUAUUUUUAGUAGAGAAGGGGAGAAUGGGCUUUAGACAGUCCAUUCACUGUGUCUAGCAGAUCCAAGUUAUGCUUUGGGGGCCAUCACUGGAAAUGGAGUCCUAGAACAAAAUACAAUCAGUUACAGAAAAAAGGCUAAACUCGGGGUGCCUGGGUGGCUCAGUCGGUUAAGCGUCCGACUUCGGCUCAGGUCAUGAUCUCACGGUUUGUGAGUCCGAGCCCCACAUCAAGCUCUGUGCUGACAGCUGGGGGCCUGGAACCUGCUUCAGAUUCUGUGUCUCCGUCUC
Molecule: long non-coding RNA, 6083 nt
Organism: Neofelis nebulosa (Clouded leopard)
Lineage: Eukaryota; Metazoa; Chordata; Mammalia; Carnivora; Felidae
Exons: 3
Source: RefSeq, a predicted model, not a curated record